RNAcentral lists this small nuclear RNA (164 nucleotides) under Ochotona princeps (American pika). RNAcentral's name for it is "U1 spliceosomal RNA (ENSOPRG00000017566.1)". It matches the Rfam family "U1 spliceosomal RNA". From Rfam's summary of the family: U1 is a small nuclear RNA (snRNA) component of the spliceosome (involved in pre-mRNA splicing). Its 5' end forms complementary base pairs with the 5' splice junction, thus defining the 5' donor site of an intron. There are significant differences in sequence and secondary structure between metazoan and yeast U1 snRNAs, the latter being much longer (568 nucleotides as compared to 164 nucleotides in human). Lineage: Eukaryota; Metazoa; Chordata; Mammalia; Lagomorpha; Ochotonidae. The record is from RNAcentral.
AUACUUACCUGGCAGGGGAGAUACCAUGAUCACGAAGGUGGUUUUCCCAGGGCGAGGCUCACCCAUUGCACUCCAGGUGUGUUGACCCCUGCGAUUUCCCCAAAUGUGGGAAACUCGACGGCGUAAUUUGUGGUAGUGGGGGACUGCGUUCACGCUCUCCUCUG